GGCCUCGUGGUCUAGUGGUAUGAUUCUCGCUUCCGGGUGCGAGAGGUCCCGGGUUCGAUUCCCGGUGAGGCCC
RNAcentral lists this transfer RNA (73 nucleotides) under Phytophthora infestans (potato late blight agent). Its description in RNAcentral is "tRNA-Arg". It matches the Rfam family "tRNA". From Rfam's summary of the family: Transfer RNA (tRNA) molecules are approximately 80 nucleotides in length. Lineage: Eukaryota; Oomycota; Peronosporomycetes; Peronosporales; Peronosporaceae. The record is from RNAcentral.